AAACUUCUGAUUGAUCUCUUGUUAUAUUGCAAAUAUUUUAAAUAAAUUUCAAUAAUUUAUUUCAAAAUUUAUAAAAUUUCAAAAUUUCGCCGCGUCUUUAAGUACUUGGCGCAGUCGUUUGCCUCACGUCUUGCACUUAUAGAUGCUUUAGCCCUACGAAUAUUUAACAAAUAUUACAAAUUUAAACAUUGUCCGUUGUCGUAGCAUUAAUGAGAGAGAGAGAGAGAGGUUAUCAUCAUUGUGUUAAUAUUAAUCCCUGCUGUAUACUAUUAACUUAUGUGAAAUGUCCCCUUUUUAUUUGUUCAGUUCUUCUUCCUCAAGCGAUCAUGGUUCAGCCGUUCAGAGACUGUCCAUUAGUUUGCACAGUGUUUUUAUUAAUGCACAAUUCUUUUUUUAUAGAUGAUUGCAGCCACAAUUUACUACAGCCAUAAUGAGACUAACAGGCUUAAUAAAUUUCAUACUUUUUCGAGAUAUAACGUUAUGUUAUCUGGAAAAAGAAACAUUUCCG
This 508-nucleotide long non-coding RNA is filed under the name Androctonus crassicauda. Lineage: Eukaryota; Metazoa; Arthropoda; Arachnida; Scorpiones; Buthidae. The record is from RNAcentral.